This 577-nucleotide ribosomal RNA is filed under the name uncultured bacterium. RNAcentral's name for it is "bacterial SSU rRNA". It matches the Rfam family "Bacterial small subunit ribosomal RNA", at positions 266 to 859 of the family's 1533-position model. The record is from RNAcentral.
UACCAAGCCGAUGAUCCGUAGGGGGCGUGAGAGCGUGGCCCCCCACACUGGCACUGAGACACGGGCCAGACUCCUACGGGAGGCAGCAGUGAGGAAUAUUGCACAAUGGGCGCAAGCCUGAUGCAGCAACGCCGCGUGAGGGACGAAGGCCUUCGGGUUGUAAACCUCUUUUCUGAGGGACGAGGAAGGACGGUACCUCAGGAAUAAGUCUCGGCUAACUACGUGCCAGCAGCCGCGGUAAAACGUAGGAGGCGAGCGUUAUCCGGAUUUACUGGGCGUAAAGCGCGCGCAGGUGGCUUCGUGAGUCGGACAUGAAAGCUCCUGGCUUAACUGGGAGAGGCUGUUCGAUACUGCGGGGCUUGAGGUUGGGAGAGGGACGCGGAAUUCCCGGUGUAGUGGUGGAAUGCGUAGAUAUCGGGAGGAACACCAGUGGCGCAAGCGGCGUCCUGGCCCACACCUGACGCUGAGGUGCGAAAGCGUGGGUAGCAAACAGGAUUAGAUACCCUGGUAGUCCACGCUGUAAACGAUGUCAACUGGGUGUCGGUAGUUUUACACUAUCGGUGCCGAAGCUAACGCG